UGUUAGGUUUUUUGCCAACCAAGCUCUUCAAGCAUGUGAUCAGGUCAUGAUGUCAAGUUAGGAAGUGUUAUUGUUGAAAUAUGUUACAGUUGAUGUUUUAUUUUAUUUUUUCUUGGUUAAAUUGGCCGCUGACAUAUGAUGAGGAUUUAGGCCAGUCUUGAAUCCUAAUCCGAGACCCAAACCAUGAGCCAUAAAUGCUUAUUUUCG
RNAcentral lists this unclassified non-coding RNA (207 nucleotides) under Hevea brasiliensis (rubber tree). The record is from RNAcentral. Lineage: Eukaryota; Viridiplantae; Streptophyta; Magnoliopsida; Malpighiales; Euphorbiaceae.